GAUGAACGCUGGCGGCGUGCCUAAUACAUGCAAGUCGAGCGAACAGACGAGGAGCUUGCUCCUCUGACGUUAGCGGCGGACGGGUGAGUAACACGUGGAUAACCUACCUAUAAGACUGGGAUAACUUCGGGAAACCGGAGCUAAUACCGGAUAAUAUAUUGAACCGCAUGGUUCAAUAGUGAAAGACGGUUUUGCUGUCACUUAUAGAUGGAUCCGCGCCGCAUUAGCUAGUUGGUAAGGUAACGGCUUACCAAGGCAACGAUGCGUAGCCGACCUGAGAGGGUGAUCGGCCACACUGGAACGGAGACACGGUCCAGACUCCUACGGGAGGCAGCAGUAGGGAAUCUUCCGCAAUGGGCGAAAGCCUUACGGAGCAACGCCGCGUGAAUGAUGAAGGUCUUCGGAUCGUAAAACUCUGUUAUUAGGGAAAAACAAAAGUGUAAGUAACUAUGCACGUCUUGACGGUACCUAAGCAGAAAGCCACGGCUAACUACGUG
Molecule: ribosomal RNA, 497 nt
Filed under: uncultured bacterium
Lineage: Bacteria
Description: partial 16S ribosomal RNA
Rfam family: Bacterial small subunit ribosomal RNA
Source: RNAcentral